UAAUACUUGUUGGUAAUUCGUCCAGAUAAUCAUCUGGCUAGUCAAUUUCCUCCAAUUCAGUCAGCAAAUAAAUGUUGGAAGUCCAGCGGCCUGGGUAAUUACACCUUCAAUUCAAGAGCUCCAGCUAGCCUCCAGUCUCUCUCAUAAGUCUCUGCAUUGGUUUUCAUUCUCAGGAAAGAGAGACCCGCUGAGCAGGUUCACCUUUGAGUCCCACGUGUGAGCGGCAAAGUGUGAGUUAGGAGUCUUGUGCAGAAAGGAAGUCAGCCUGCCUUGAUCUCUGAUCUCUGUUGUUCCCAGGGUCUCUCUGUCCUCCUCCCAAGAGUGAGAGGGGGGGACCGUGGGAACGAGGUUAAACUUUGCUGCUUGUACGUGUGUUCCUCAAACGUGAGCCUAUUCGCAGGCGAGGAAAGAGAAUUCCUUGUUUCAUUCAAAUUUCUUUUUGAGGGAUCGUUUCAUCUACCCUCACGACUUUGCUAAUGAGUUUUGCUUUCAAUUAUAUAUAUUAAGAAGGAAUACUCAAUAUUAGAUUUAGAAGAGCAAAUAAUAAACGGAUAGUUAAUGUUAGAUUUGGAUUAGAAGAUUGUACACAAAGACAUUUAUUUUAACCAAACUUGCUGAAUGUCCGGUUCCAUCUACAGGUAUUUAUUAUUUGUUAUUAUGCAAACUAGGUAUAAUUAAUUUUACCAAUACGGUACCAUAUAUUCACUGAGAUGCCACAUUGCUGAGAUACCUUUCGUAGAUAGUUAAUAGGCGUAUCCUUGGAGCAAAACAGAUCUUUGUAAAAGGCAAUAGAUGGUUAUUUCUCAACCAGUUUUUUUUUUGAGUGUAGAAAAAAGUCUCUGUGACUAAGAGGACUAUACUUUUCAUUGUUAUAUUGUAAUUAAUGAAUUUUUGAAGAUACACCUCUUAUCUAUUCGUUUAAACUGAUGGUUAUUUUUUCACGUAUAUGUUUUCCAAGUGUUAAUGAGAUUACCAAUAAUCAGAGUUAACUAGGAGAUUUACUGUUGGCCAGUGGAUGAUCGCUGUGGGCAUGCGUAGUUGUGCCAUUGCUGUGCAGUUUUGCCCUCGAUAUAGCUUAUCGACAAGUUAAAUAGGGAACUAAGAUCCAACUUAGUUACUUUAUUUGUCGCAAAGGAGCCCCCGGGGGGGGGGGGACUCCCAUAUGAAAAGGUCGGGGAUUCUCGACUUCUUGCCCAGGGUUGUAAAUAAAGGAUGUUGGUCUCACUCAGGACGAAAAUGCCACAAUUUUUAGCUGUCAAAGUAUCUUUAAGAGAGCAUUCAAAGAGAUACAUUAAAAAACGCUCUCGUUUUCCGUUUUUGGGCUUAAUUCCUGCCUCCCUCUUGAGUCAGGUCUACUAACCCAGGCUCCUAUCCUGGGGCUGGUAAUCAAGCCUAUUCAGUUAUAAGCGGUCUCUUUUAGGGUCAUGCCAGGACAGAUUGGUCUCGGCUUUAGGGGUUUAAUUCAAAUUUUCCGACCUUGACAUAUGGAUGUCCCCCCCCCCCUUCCCGGGCAGUUUCUCAGUUUCCCUAGUAAUAGGUUGGUGGUCAAUUUUAUGUCAAAAAACCAAAGCUGGCCUUCAGACAAGGCAGAUUAGCGCUUCAGCCCCGCCAAUCUGUUCGGAAGGCUAAGCCAAAGAACCACUUAAGGCGAUCACAAAGGACAGACAAACCAGUGAACCAAUCAAAACUCAAUGUAAUUACGUGUAGCAGACGCAAUUUUUAAUUCAACCAUGUAGCGUAGAAGUGCAAAGCCAAGUACUUUUCGACACUCGAAUGAAAACCACUAUGAAUGUAAAAUAACUACAGGUUAUUAGAGUUCACCAAAUUAACACUAAGAAAUUGUCUGGAUAUUUAAAGGAAUUCUAACUAGCACUAUAGGCAAUUUAAGACUAGUAAAGAGAAUCUGUAAUUUGAUGAUAA
Molecule: long non-coding RNA, 1920 nt
Organism: Orbicella faveolata
Lineage: Eukaryota; Metazoa; Cnidaria; Anthozoa; Scleractinia; Merulinidae
Source: RefSeq, a predicted model, not a curated record